This is a non-coding RNA of Triticum aestivum (bread wheat), 124 nucleotides long. The record is from Rfam. Lineage: Eukaryota; Viridiplantae; Streptophyta; Magnoliopsida; Poales; Poaceae.
GUUCUACUCCCUCCGUUCAGAAAUACUUGUCGGAGAAAUGCAUGUAUCUAGACAUAUCUUAAUUCUAGAGACAUUCUUUUUAUCGAUUUCUUCAACAAGUAUUUUCGGAUGGAGGGAGUACUUU